RNAcentral lists this long non-coding RNA (1099 nucleotides) under Mus pahari (shrew mouse). RNAcentral describes it as "RIKEN cDNA 9430041J12 gene (MGP_PahariEiJ_G0002817.1)". The record is from RNAcentral. Lineage: Eukaryota; Metazoa; Chordata; Mammalia; Rodentia; Muridae.
ACCACCAGCCUCACCCUCCUGGGACCCGGGCCUGUUGUCUUCCUUAGCGCGGAACCUAAUCACAUUUCUAUCCCAACCCUCUCUGGCACCCUAACAACCCCUUCCUUCCCUCCUGGGACAGGCUGAAGGCACCUUGAAUCCUCGUCUCACCUCAGCUGAUUUCCCCAGCCCUGGUCUCUAUUCCCUGGUUGAGGAUAUCAAUCCGUCCCAGACCUCGGCUUCCCUCUCUCAAUCCUUUCUUAUUCCCCCCCCCCCGGCAAUUUUUUUUUUUUUCAUUUAAUCUGGGACAUAUUUACCAGUCGGGAUCCUGUGGGGGCGGGGUCCUUCUCGCCUGGGACCUCAAGAGCGGACCUUUCCUUAGAUGACCCUAGAGACUGGCUUUCCAGGCAGGUCUCAGAAACCCAAAUGCUGGGCCCCCAUCUCCUCCCAUUCAGGAUUCUUGGAAGUCUAGGAUCCCAGCUCUCCUUAUCUGGGAAGAGAGGGGUCUGCACCCCCAGCGCACGUCCUAGGGGAACCUCAAGGAGAUGACUGGUGAAAAGUGAGGUCACAAAAGUGGGCUCUAACACAACUAGAGUCCUUCUUAAAAGAGAUUAAGGACCAGUGAGAUGGCUCAUCAGGAAAGGUUCAUUGAAGAAUGCAACAAAAUCAUUUUUAAAGAAGUGUGCAAGGCCUGAUGGCACAUGCCUUUAAUCCCAGUCCUUCAGAGGCACAGACAAAUGGAUGUCUAACCUGUUGACUGGCUGAGUGGGCUUGGUCAGCCAUAAAUAGGACAUUUCUAUCGCACUCAUUCUCCAAGGCCAAAGGAUCAUCGUCAUGCAGAGGGAGAGAGGCAGAUUCUAAGAGCCAGAGGCCAGGAUUGGGCUAUGCCCCACCUGUAACUUUAACUACAAAUGGUUCUUCUACAUUGCCUGUUCCUGGGAUGGAAAUCAGGUCUUUGUUUCACAAAGUUGUUUAUAGCCAUCUUGCAAGCCUACCUCUGUUUCAAUAAGGCUCAAGGCCUAGUGAAGUGAGGCCAGAGGAAACCUGGGUGCCUCAGUUACCUCAGGAAGAACUCCACAUGCCAGCCUGGAUCUUCCACAUGGCAGUCUCUCACCAUGGC